UUUUUUGAUUUUUUUAAAUUAAUGGUGCUUAUUUGACCUCGAUGGUGCCAACUAGGGUUUUUUUUUCAUGAAAAUGACCAUAGACCAAGUUUAGUAUUUUUCUCGUAAGUGUGUCUUAUAAAACAACGAACGGCGAAGGUUUCAUAUUUUUUCGAUUUUUUUGAAAUUAGUUAUGCUCAGUCAAAGCUUUUAUAACCCCGUUGACCAGCUCAAAACCCCUCUAAACCCCGCGGGGUUUCGCCUAACCCUAGCUCCCAACGUCAGUCGUCUGAUCACACCCUGGCACCAAGCGACAGCCCU
This 300-nucleotide long non-coding RNA is filed under the name Hordeum vulgare. RNAcentral's name for it is "long non-coding RNA (HVUL_LNC007039)". Lineage: Eukaryota; Viridiplantae; Streptophyta; Magnoliopsida; Poales; Poaceae. The record is from RNAcentral.